CAUAGAUAUAAAAAUCAAAUUUUUACUAACUACAGGUAUAAAAUAACAGUCUUUCAGAAUUAAACUAAGUCCCAACGGUAGUCAUAAAGAGUAGGUCCCGAUGGCCACAACAGCAACUCUUAUCCUAUUACCGACACAAAGAGUGAUUUUGUCUUCUCUUAUGCCUCUAAUUUAUUCUAGAUCCUGCAUAGAAGUGCACAAGUGAGCACUCGAGCC
Molecule: long non-coding RNA, 216 nt
Filed under: Elaeis guineensis (African oil palm)
Lineage: Eukaryota; Viridiplantae; Streptophyta; Magnoliopsida; Arecales; Arecaceae
Description: long non-coding RNA (EGUI_LNC007164)
Source: RNAcentral